AUCCAGCUGAUGAGUCCCAAAUAGGACGAAACGCUUGUCUUGGAU
RNAcentral lists this non-coding RNA (45 nucleotides) under Schistosoma mansoni. Lineage: Eukaryota; Metazoa; Platyhelminthes; Trematoda; Strigeidida; Schistosomatidae. The record is from RNAcentral.